UACGAAGGGGGCUAGCGUUGCUCGGAAUUACUGGGCGUAAAGCGCACGUAGGCGGCUUUCUAAGUCGGGGGUGAAAUCCUGGAGCUCAACUCCAGAACUGCCUUCGAUACUGGAAGCUCGAGUCCGGGAGAGGUGAGUGGAACUGCGAGUGUAGAGGUGAAAUUCGUAGAUAUUCGCAAGAACACCAGUGGCGAAGGCGGCUCACUGGCCCGGUACUGACGCUGACGGUGCGAAAGCGUGGGGAGCAAACAGG
Molecule: ribosomal RNA, 253 nt
Filed under: uncultured bacterium
Lineage: Bacteria
Description: partial 16S ribosomal RNA
Rfam family: Bacterial small subunit ribosomal RNA
Source: RNAcentral